Molecule: unclassified non-coding RNA, 305 nt
Filed under: plant metagenome
Description: partial contains 5.8S ribosomal RNA, internal transcribed spacer 2, and large subunit ribosomal RNA
Rfam family: 5.8S ribosomal RNA (bases 1-105)
Source: RNAcentral
GAAAUGCGAUAAGUAGUGUGAAUUGCAGAAUUCAGUGAAUCAUCGAAUCUUUGAACGCACAUUGCGCCCUUUGGUAUUACUUAGGGCAUGCCUGUUCGAGCGUCAUCUAAACCUUCAAGCCCUGCUUGGUGUUGGGUGCCUGUCCCGCCUCCGCGCGCGGACUCACCUCAAAUCCAUUGGCGGCCCCCGCGUCGGCCACGAGCGCAGCAGAAACGCGAACUCGUGAGCCCGUCCGGGCGGCUCCCAGAAGCUACACCCACCCAGUUUGACCUCGGAUCAGGUAGGGAUACCCGCUGAACUUAAGC